RNAcentral lists this long non-coding RNA (242 nucleotides) under Musa acuminata (dwarf banana). RNAcentral's name for it is "long non-coding RNA (MACU_LNC010386)". Lineage: Eukaryota; Viridiplantae; Streptophyta; Magnoliopsida; Zingiberales; Musaceae. The record is from RNAcentral.
UAAACGUGAGGCAAUUAGAUUGACCCACGUGGCCUUCCAUCGUUAUAAGUAGGAACCGAUUCCCGGUGUAGGUUGAGUUGGUCGAGUCCCUCGAGACUCACCUAUAUCGCGAUUCGCUAUCUUGCUUACGACAUAGAGAUGUCACCGGUGACCUGAGGACAUGGUAUGCUUGGUCGAGUCCCUCGAGGGUAUAUCAUCAAAUCAGACUCAUCUUGUAACAAAGGUGUUGACUUAACCGAGCA